Molecule: non-coding RNA, 161 nt
Filed under: human gut metagenome
Also listed under: 1 other name
Description: Lysine riboswitch
Rfam family: Lysine riboswitch aptamer
About the family: Riboswitches are metabolite binding domains within certain messenger RNAs that serve as precision sensors for their corresponding targets.
Source: RNAcentral
UGAUAGAGGUGCGGAACAGAUCAGUAGCGCGUCCAUAACGGUCUGCGGAGACCGGCUGCGCGAAAGGCUUACCGCCGAAGAAUGCACGAUCCGUGGUGUGCAUAUCUGGCUGCACGUUGAACAGGCGUCCGGCUGUCAUCGGUCUGAUGGAGAGCUAUCGC